UGUGAGCCAGUCAGACUGUGUGUGCGUGUGUGUGAGCGACUGGCUCACACACACACACACUGACUGGCUCACACACACACACACACUGACUGGCUCACACA
Molecule: non-coding RNA, 101 nt
Organism: Pelobates cultripes (western spadefoot toad)
Lineage: Eukaryota; Metazoa; Chordata; Amphibia; Anura; Pelobatidae
Source: the annotation of a GenBank genome assembly